RNAcentral lists this ribosomal RNA (1342 nucleotides) under Candidatus Vogelbacteria bacterium RIFOXYB1_FULL_42_16. Its description in RNAcentral is "bacterial SSU rRNA". It matches the Rfam family "Bacterial small subunit ribosomal RNA". The record is from RNAcentral. Lineage: Bacteria; Candidatus Vogeliibacteriota.
UUUUUUGAGAGUUUGAUCUUAGCUCAGGAUGAAUGCUGGCGACGUGGAUAAGGCAUGCAAGUCGAGUGGGUUUAGACCCACGGCGAACGAGGUAGUAACACGUGGGAAUCUCCCUUCGAGUUUGGCAUAACCCGCCGAAAGGCGGAAUAAUUCCAAAUAGUCCCUUCGGGGUAAAGGCGUAAGCCGCUUGAAGAAGAGCCUGCGGAAUAUCAGCUAGUUGGUAAGGUAAUGGCUUACCAAGGCAAUGACGUUUAGGGGAGGUGAGAGCCUGACCCCCACCGAUGGUACUGAGACACGGACCAUACACCUACGGGUGGCUGCAGUCGAGAAUCUUCCGCAAUGGGCGAAAGCCUGACGGAGCGACGUCGCGUGAUUGAUGAAGUCCUUAGGGACGUAAAGAUCUUUUAUGAGGGAAGAAAACCAUUUAUUGGAUAUGACGGUACCUCAUGAAUAAGGACCUGCUAAACUCGUGCCAGCAGCAGCGGUAAUACGAGUGGUCCAAGCAUUAUCCGGAUUUAUUGGGCGUAAAGGGUGUGUAGGUGGUUUUGUUAGUCUUUUGUUAAAACUUCGGGCUCAACCCGAAAGCUGCGAAAGAAACGGCAAAACUAGAGGGGGUGAGAGGCUUGUAGAACUCAUGGUGUAGGGGUGAAAUCCGUUGAUAUCAUGGGGAAUACCAAAGGCGAAGGCAGCAAGCUGGCGCCCACCUGACACUGAAACACGAAAGCGUGGGGAUCGAACGGGAUUAGAUACCCCGGUAGUCCACGCCCUAAACGAUGAUCACUAGCUUUUCGGAGUAUCGACCCUCUGAGAGGCGAAGCUAACGCGUUAAGUGAUCCGCCUGGGAAGUACGGCCGCAAGGCUAAAACUCAAAAGAAUAGACGGGGACUCGCACAAGCAGUGGAUCAUGCGGUUUAAUUCGACGAUAAACGAAGAACCUUACCAGGGUUUGAAACCCAAAUGAAAGCCCAGCGAAAGUUGGGAACUCUCACAAGGACAUUUGGGCAGGUGAUGCAUGGCUGUCGUCAGUUCGUGGUUUGAAUUGUUCCCUUAAGUGGGGUAACGAACGCAACCCUUGUCGUCUGUUAUAUUUGUCAGACGAGACUGUCCUGUUUAACAGGAAGGAAGCGAGGAUGACGCCAAGUCAGCAUGUCCCUUUGACAUCCUGGGCUACACGCAUGAUACAAUCGCCGUUACAAUAGGUCGCGACGGGGAAACCCUGAGCUAAUCCUAAAAGGCGGCGCCAGUUCGGAUUGAGGUCUGCAACUCGACCUCAUGAAGCCGGAAUUGCUAGUAAUCGCAGGUCAGCUAUACUGCGGUGAAUACGUUCUCGAGUCUUGUACUC